CUAGGCACACAGCUCAGUAGCACGUGGCUAACCUGCCCUUGGGACGGGAACACCCCGGGAAACUGGGGCUAAUUCCCGAUAGGUGAAGAUCCCUGGAAUGGGUUUUCGCCCAAAAGGCGUCUAGGUCAUGCUUCUGGACGUUGCCCAAGGGUGGGGCCGCGGCCGAUCAGGUUGUUGGUGAGGUAAUGGCUCACCAAGCCUUUGACCGGUUCGGGCCGUGGGAGCGGUAGCCCGGAGAUGGGCACUGAGACAAGGGCCCAGGUCCUACGGGGCGCAGCAGUCGCGCAAACUUUGCAAUACACGAAAGUGUGACAGGGCUAUCCCGAGUGCCGUCCGCUGAGGGUGGCUUUUACCCAGUCUAGAAAGCUGGGAGAAUAAGGAGAGGGCAAGUCUGGUGUCAGCCGCCGCGGUAAUACCAGCUCUCCGAGUGGUGUGGAUGUUUAUUGGGCCUAAAGCAUCCGUAGCUUGCCAAGCAAGUCCCCUGUUAAACCCAACGAAUCAAUCGUUGGAUUGCGGGGGAUACUGCUCGGCUAGGGGACGAGAGAGGCCGACGGUAUUCUCGGGGUAGGGGUGAAAUCCUAUAAUCCCGGGAAGACCACCAGUGGCGAAGGCUGUCGGCUAGAACGCGCCCGACGGUGAGGGAUGAAAGCUGGGGGAGCGAACCGGAUUAGAUACCCGGGUAGUCCCAGCUGUAAACGAUGCAGGCUAGGUGUUUGGACGGCCACGUGCCGUUCUAGUGCCGCAGGGAAGCUGUUAAGCCUGCCGCCUGGGGAGAACGAUCGCAAGAUUGAACUUAAAGGCAC
This 803-nucleotide ribosomal RNA is filed under the name uncultured soil archaeon. Its description in RNAcentral is "bacterial SSU rRNA". It matches the Rfam family "Archaeal small subunit ribosomal RNA", at positions 77 to 865 of the family's 1478-position model. The record is from RNAcentral.